GCCAGACUCCUACGGGAGGCAGCAGUAGGGAAUAUUGCUCAAUGGAGGAAGCCCUGAAGCAGCAACGCCGCGUGGAGGAUGAAGGUUUUAGGAUUGUAAACUCCUUUUGUUAGAGAAGAUUAUGACGGUAUCUAACGAAUAAGCACCGGCUAACUCCGUGCCAGCAGCCGCGGUAAUACGGAGGGUGCAAGCGUUACUCGGAAUCACUGGGCGUAAAGAGUGCGUAGGCGGGGUAAUAAGUCAGAUGUGAAAUCCUGUAGCUUAACUACAGAACUGCAUUUGAAGCUGUUAUUCUAGAGUAUGGGAGAGGUAGGUGGAAUUCUUGGUGUAGGGGUAAAAUCCGUAGAGAUCAAGAGGAAUACUCAUUGCGAAGGCGACCUGCUAGAACAUAACUGACGCUGAUGCGCGAAAGCGUGGGGAGCAAACAGGAUUAGAUACCCCAGUACA
This 447-nucleotide ribosomal RNA is filed under the name uncultured bacterium. RNAcentral describes it as "bacterial SSU rRNA". It matches the Rfam family "Bacterial small subunit ribosomal RNA", at positions 330 to 797 of the family's 1533-position model. The record is from RNAcentral.